AAAGUGAACCACUUAUUAAUAAAGGAAACGAAGUAUACCAACCACAAAAGCACACAAGCAAAACCAAAAGGCGGCAAAGUGAUAUACUGAAAGGGCUAUAGUAACUCAUAGGUGCAAGUUGAUCCAAAAGAAUAUAAACUCCAAAUAGAUAGAUUCAUCAUCCAUGUAAAAAGUUACAACAGACAAUCCACAAAUUGACACAAGGUAAAAGUUAACAAUAACAACAAAUAGCCCACAAAAGUUGUGGAAACGGUAUUACUAUUCAUGUUUGACCCCAUUACGAUAUCAAUGAAAUAUACCUUCCACUCGUGCUGGUAUUUGGAGAUUAAAAAGCACAAGAAUUUUUGUUUAUUAGUAAUUAGAAAUCAAGAAGAGGUCGCACUUGGUGUGAUGGCAAGUGCCUUCGCCCAUGAGCGGUAGGUCUCGGGUUCGAGACUUGGGAGCAGCCUCUCCAUAAAAUGGGGGUAAGGCUAGCCGACAUUCACCUCUCCCAGACCCUGCGUAAAGCGGGAGCCUUGUGCACUGGGUACGACCUAAGUGAUUAGAAAUCAAGUGAACCACUUAUUAAGUCACUGAAACAAGGUAUACCAUACACAGUAGAAACAGAAACAAAACCACAGGCUGGACAAGUGAUGUACCACAAGAAAUAUAGUAGUUCUUAGAUAUGAGUUGAUCCAAAGAAAUGUAAUCUCCAAAGGAUGUAUUCAUCAUCCCAUACAAACAAUAAAUACAAGAAUAUUUCUACGAACAGUCUUGCUUCGUAAUCAUUCUACUCUGACAACAAGCCAAAAUCAGUCAAACAGUCAAACCAUAACUUAUCUGCUUCCCUAGGCUCUCUAAUUAUUCCUUUCAAAAUCUAGCGUCUUAGUAGAAAGCACCUUAUGUCUAAAACUUAUACGGAUUUUCCCCUUGUUAUAAUCUGGAUUUUUUAGUUUUUUAGUUUUCGGGUUGGACUGGUUGGUCUCUGCACUUUGUGGGGAUUUCUAGGUUGUAGCUAUAUCUGCUUGUUUUUUCCCUUUGUUUGUCUCACUUUGUAGUUGUUUUGGCGGACCUCUUGUCAAUCCUGUCCUCUCCAGUAAUGCUUAUCAUUUUCUUUGAUAAAUUAUAUUUCCUAUAAAACAUGGAAAAAAAACUGGC
This 1137-nucleotide long non-coding RNA is filed under the name Malus domestica (apple). RNAcentral's name for it is "long non-coding RNA (MDOM_LNC005466)". Lineage: Eukaryota; Viridiplantae; Streptophyta; Magnoliopsida; Rosales; Rosaceae. The record is from RNAcentral.